AUUGCCCUAGUAACGGCGAGUGAAGCGGCAAUAGCUCAAAUUUGAAAGCUGGCCUUCUGGUCCGCAUUGUAAUUUGUAGAGGAUGCUUUUAGGCAGCCGCCGGUCUAAGUUCCUUGGAACAGGACGUCAUAGAGGGUGAGAAUCCCGUAUGUGACCGGCUCUGGCACCUUAUGUAAAGCUCCUUCGACGAGUCGAGUUGUUUGGGAAUGCAGCUCUAAAUGGGAGGUAAAUUUCUUCUAAAGCUAAAUACUGGCGAGAGACCGAUAGCGCACAAGUAGAGUGAUCGAAAGAUGAAAAGCACUUUGGAAAGAGAGUUAAAAAGCACGUGAAAUUGUUGAAAGGGAAGCGCUUGCAAUCAGACUUGGACUUGGCUGUUCAACCGGUCUUCUGACCGGCCUACUCAGUCUUGUCCAGGCCAGCAUCAGUUUCGGCGGCCGGAUAAAGGCCCUGGGAAUGUAGCUGUCUCUUCGGGGACAGUGUUAUAGCCCAGGGUGUAAUACGGCCAGCUGGGACUGAGGUCCGCGCUUCGGCUAGGAUGCUGGCGUAAUGGUUGUAAGCGGCCCGUCUUGAAACACGGACCAAGGAGUCUAACAUCUAUGCGAGUGUUAGGGUGUCAAACCCUUACGCGUAAUGAAAGUGAACGGAGGUGGGAACCCGCAAGGGUGCACCAUCGACCGAUCCUGAUGUCUUCGGAUGGAUUUGAGUAAGAGCAUAGCUGUUGGGACCCGAAAGAUGGUGAACUAUGCCUGAAUAGGGUGAAGCCAGAGGAAACUCUGGUGGAGGCUCGCAGCGGUUCUGACGUGCAAAUCGAUCGUCAAAUUUGGGUAUAGGGGCGAAAGACUAAUCGAACCAUCUAGUAGCUGGUUCCUGC
Molecule: ribosomal RNA, 871 nt
Filed under: Dothiora laureolae
Lineage: Eukaryota; Fungi; Ascomycota; Dothideomycetes; Dothideales; Dothioraceae
Description: eukaryotic LSU rRNA
Rfam family: Eukaryotic large subunit ribosomal RNA
Source: RNAcentral